CGCGUAGGCGGGACGUCAAGUUAGGGGUGAAAGGCCUGGGCUCAACCUAGGAACUGCCUCUAAAACUGACGCUCUAGAGUCCGGGAGAGGAUGGCGGAAUUCCCAGUGUAGAGGUGAAAUUCGUAGAUAUUGGGAAGAACACCAGUGGCGAAGGCGGCCAUCUGGUCCGGCACUGACGCUGAGGCGCGAAAGCGUGGGGAGCAAACA
This 207-nucleotide ribosomal RNA is filed under the name uncultured bacterium. Its description in RNAcentral is "partial 16S ribosomal RNA". It matches the Rfam family "Bacterial small subunit ribosomal RNA", at positions 568 to 774 of the family's 1533-position model. The record is from RNAcentral.